UACGUAGGGGGCGAGCGUUGUCCGGAGUUACUGGGCGUAAAGCGCACGCAGGCGGUCUGUUAAGUUUGGAGUGACAGUUGGUGGCUUAACUGCCAAAGUGCUUCGAAAACUGACAGACUUGAGGGCUUCAGAGGGACACGGAAUUCCGGGUGGAGUGGUGAAAUGCGUAGAGAUCCGGAGGAACACCAAAGGCAAAGGCAGUGUCCUGGGGAGUACCUGACGC
RNAcentral lists this ribosomal RNA (223 nucleotides) under uncultured bacterium. RNAcentral describes it as "partial 16S ribosomal RNA". It matches the Rfam family "Bacterial small subunit ribosomal RNA", at positions 524 to 746 of the family's 1533-position model. The record is from RNAcentral.